UACGGGGGGGGUAAGCGUUGUUCGGAAUUACUGGGCGUAAAGGGCUCGUAGGCGGCCAACUAAGUCAUACGUGAAAUCCCUCAGCUUAACUGGGGAACUGCGUGUGAUACUGGAUGGCUUGGAUUUGGGAGAGGGAUGCGGAAUUCCAGGUGUAGCGGUGAAAUGCGUAGAUAUCUGGAGGAACACCGGUGGCGAAGGCGGCAUCCUGGACCGAUAUUGACGCUGAGGAGCGAAAGCUAGGGGAGCAAACGGG
This 253-nucleotide ribosomal RNA is filed under the name uncultured bacterium. RNAcentral describes it as "partial 16S ribosomal RNA". It matches the Rfam family "Bacterial small subunit ribosomal RNA", at positions 524 to 776 of the family's 1533-position model. The record is from RNAcentral.